Molecule: ribosomal RNA, 502 nt
Filed under: uncultured bacterium
Lineage: Bacteria
Description: partial 16S ribosomal RNA
Rfam family: Bacterial small subunit ribosomal RNA
Source: RNAcentral
AUUGAACGCUGGCGGCAUGCCUUACACAUGCAAGUCGAACGGCAGCAUAGGAGCUUGCUCCUGAUGGCGAGUGGCGAACGGGUGAGUAAUAUAUCGGAACGUGCCCUAGAGUGGGGGAUAACUAGUCGAAAGACUAGCUAAUACCGCAUACGAUCUACGGAUGAAAGUGGGGGAUCGCAAGACCUCAUGCUCCUGGAGCGGCCGAUAUCUGAUUAGCUAGUUGGUGGGGUAAAAGCUCACCAAGGCGACGAUCAGUAGCUGGUCUGAGAGGACGACCAGCCACACUGGGACUGAGACACGGCCCAGACUCCUACGGGAGGCAGCAGUGGGGAAUUUUGGACAAUGGGGGCAACCCUGAUCCAGCAAUGCCGCGUGAGUGAAGAAGGCCUUCGGGUUGUAAAGCUCUUUUGUCAGGGAAGAAACGGUUCUGGAUAAUACCUGGGACUAAUGACGGUACCUGGAGGAUAAGCACCGGCUAACUACGUGCCAGCCGCCGCAGUAA